Molecule: long non-coding RNA, 9263 nt
Organism: Oncorhynchus tshawytscha (Chinook salmon)
Lineage: Eukaryota; Metazoa; Chordata; Actinopteri; Salmoniformes; Salmonidae
Source: Ensembl
AACAAAAUCUGAGUUUACAUUGGCGCUUUACUUUCAGUAGUUCUAAAACACGCGGUGAUUGUGCAGAGAGCCACAUCAAUUUACAGAAAUACUCAUAAUAAACAUUGAUAAAGAUACGACUAUUAUACAUGGAACUAAAUAAACUUCUCCUUAAUGCAACCGCUGUGUCAGAUUUCAAAAAAGCUUUACGGAGAAAGAAAGCGAUGCAAUAAUCUGAGUACAGCCUUUAGACAACAAAAAAGCCCAAAAGAUACCCGACAUAUUGGGUAGUAAACAUUACUCAGAAAUAGAAUUUGAAAUAUUCACUUACCUUUGAUUAUCUUCAUCAUAAUGCACUCCCAGGAAUCCCAGUUCCACCAUAAAUGCUUGAUUUCGAUAAUGUCCAUCAGUUAUGUCCAAAUAUCUUCUUUUGUUAGGGCGUUUGAUAAACAAAUCCAAAAGUGCGUUCAGGUCGCGCCGAACGUCGGACGAAAAGUUAAAAAAGUUCAGUUACAGCCCGUAGAAACAUUCCAAACCAAGUAUGGAAUACAUCUUUAGGAUGUUUUUAACAUAAAACUUCAUUAAUUUUCCAACCGGACAAUUCCUAUGUCUGUACAAAUGAAGUGGAACGUAGCUACCUUUCACGUGAGCGCGCCAGACCGAGGCUGUGGCACUCUGCCAGACCACUACCUCAAGGAGCCCUUAUGAGCCCCUCCUUUAGAGUAUAAUCCUCAAAAUAGGUUCUAAAUACUGUUGACAUCUAGUAGAAGCCUUGGGAAGUGAAACAUAACUAAUAUCACACGGUAUCUUCAAUGGGGGCUGAGGUGAUAAACUACAAACCUCAGAUUUCCCACUUCCUGCUUGGAUUUUUUUCUCAGGUUUUUGCCUGCUGUAUGAGUUAUGUUAUGCUCACAGACAUCAUUCAAACAGUUUUAGAAACUCCAGAGUGUUUUCUAUCCAGAUUUUCUAAUUAUAUGCAUAUUCUAGCUUUUACGGCUGAGUAGCAGGCAGCUUCAUUUGGGGACGUUUUUCAUCCAAGCUACCCAAUAUUGCCCCCUACCCCAAAGAAGUUAAACAGCUUGUCAACACUUCUUACAAAAACAGGUAGUGAUGAAGUAAAUCUCUCCUCCACUUUGAGCCAUGAGAGAUUGACAUGCAUAUUAUUAAUGUUAGUUUAACAUUUACAUUUAAGGGCCAGACAAUCCAGUGUUACUUCAAGCAGUUUAGUCGCCUCAAUUUACUCAAUUUCCACACUAUUCAUUGCAAUAUUUAGUUGAGGUUUAGUGAAUGAUUUGUCCCAAAUACAAUGCUUUUAGUUUUUGAAAUAUUUAGGACAAACUUAUUCCUUGCCAACCAUUCUGAAACUAACUGCAGCUUUUUGUUAAUUGUUGCAGUCAUUUCAAUCGAUGUAGUAGCUGACGUGGAUAUAGUGUUGAGUCAUCUGCAUACAUAGACACAUUGGCUAUUUGAGCCAGUAAAGGUUUUUUUUCACUGGCUCAAAUCUUUUAUUUUUUUUACUAUGGGUAGUGGAAUAACUUUUGCUUCUCCCCAGGCCUGAGGGUACACACUUUCUAGUAGGCUUAGAUGAACAAUAUGUCAAAUAGGAGAGGCAAUAUUGUUCGCUAUUAUCCUCAGUCAUUUUCCAUCCAAGUUGUCAGACGCCGGUGGCUUGUCAUUGUUGAUAGACAACAAUCAUUUUUUCACCUCUUCCACACUCACUUUACGAAUUCAAAAUUACAAUGCUUGUCUUUCAUAAUUUGUUCAGUUAUGCUUGGAUGUGUAGUGUUGGCAUUUGUUGCUGGCAUGUCAUGUAUAAGUUUGCUAAUCUUGCCAAUUAAGAAAUCAUUAAAGUAGUUGGAAAUAUCAGUGGGUUUUGUGAUGAAUGAGCCAUCUGAUUCAAAGAAUGUUGGAGCUGAGUUCGCCUUUUUUGCCCAACAUUUCAUUUAAGGUGUUCCAAAGGUUAUUACUAUCAAUGUUUAUGUCAUAUAUAUUUGUUUCAUGGUAUAGAUUCUUCUUAUUAUUAUGAAUUUUUUCACAUGACUUCUCAAUUUGCAGUACGUUUGCCAACCAGUUGUGCUGCCAGACUUAUUUGCCAUUCCUUUUGCAACAUCCGUCUCAGCCAUACCAUUUUUCAAUUUCUCGCCAAUCCAAGGGGAUUUAACAUUUCUUCAGUCAUUUUCUUAAUGGGUGCAUGCUUAUUCGUAACUGGAAUAAGCAAUUUCAUAGAUGUGUCAAGUGCAGCGUCUGGUUGCUCCUCAUUGCACCACAGACCAGCAAAUCUUUUUUACACCAUCAACAUAAGAAUCACUACAAUACUUAUCGUAUGACCUCUUAUACCCUAUAUUAGGCCCACCAUUUGGAACUUUGGUUUUCCGAUAUGUGGCUACUAUAUUGUGAUCACUACAUCCAAUGGAUUUUUAAACUGCUUUAAAGCAAAUUUCUGCUAAUUUAGUAAAGAUGUGAUACAUGAUGAUGAUUUAAUUCCUGUGCUGUUUAUAGAUAUACCUUAAUGCAACCGCUGUGUCUGAUUUCAAAAAAACUUUACGGAAUAAGCAAACCAUGCAAUAAUCUGAGACGGCGCUCAGAAAAAUAGUCAAAAUAGCCGCCAUGUUGGUGUCAACAUAAACAAGAAUUUACAUGAUAAAUAUUCCCUUACCUUUGAUGAUCUUCAUCAGAAAGCCUCCCAGGAAUCCCAGGUCCACAAUAAAUGUUUGUUUUGUUCGAUAAUGUGCGUUAUUGAUGUCCAAAUACCUCCUUUUUUUAGCGUGUUUGGUAUACAUAUCCAAAUGCUCAUUCUGGUCAGCGUUACGUCGGACAAAAACUUCAAAAAGUUAUAUUACAGGUCGAAGAAAUAUUUCAAACUAAGUACAGAAUAAAUCAUUAUGAUUUUUUAACAUAUAGCUUCAAUAAAGUUCCAACCGGAGUAUUCCUUUGUGUCUUGAUGAGCAAUGGAACGCAAGUGGAUACCAUGAGGAACGCGCGUGAUCAGAAAAUAGCUGACUGCCAGUCACCUGAUACAUUCUGCUCUCAUUAAGUCCCACAACACAGUAGAAGUCUCAUUCAAAUUUCUAUAGACGGUUGACAUCUAGUGGAAGCCCUCGAAGUGCAACAUCAUUAAUAUCUCAAUGGGAUAUCAAUGGGAACUGUGGUGAAUUCAUACCAAGCUUUUCAUACCAAGAUUUUUCACUUCCUGUUUUGAUUUCUCCUCAGGAUUUUGCCUGCCAUAUGAGUUCUGUUAUACUCACAGACAUCAUUCAAACAGUUUUAGAAACUUUAGAGUGUUUUCUGUCCAAUAAUAAUAAUAAUGAUAUGCAAAUAUUUGCAACUGAGACUGAGCAGCAGGCCGUUUACUUUGGGAACCUUAUUCAUCCAAGCUACUCAAUACUGCCUCCAGCCAUCAGAGGUUAACUACCCUGGUAAGCUGAACCAGGUUGCAGGCGCUAGUUACAGUUUGAAGAUUUUGUGGGGAACUUGUUGAAAGCCAGCCAAUAUUUUAAAUCACCCAGAAAAUAUACCUCUCUGUUGAUAUCACAUACAUUAUCAAGCCAGAUUGCAAGAUGGCGCCGACAGACAUGGCAGCUCUGCUUCUAGCUCCUAAGCAACUCUGCAGUAUUUUGUUUUUUUGGGUGCUAUUUCUUAUUUUAUUAGCCUAGAACUUUUUUUUGUGUCAUUUCAUACAGCCGGAAAAAACUUUUGCAUAUCAGAGAGGCGGUAAAUCACCAGCAUUACGAUCAGGAAUUUCCCAAAUUGGAUCCUUUAUUUGUAACCCAGGGUAAUUGAACUUAUCCCAGAGGCUGCAACAAGAAGAUGCCGAGGGUGAAGAGGUAUUCGGAGUGGACUUCUAGUUCGACUCAGGAGGCUUGCAUACCAUUCCCUGCUUCCGAGUAUUUUACCUGCUAAUGUUCAGUCUCUGGACAAUAAAGUAGACGAGUUUAGGGCGAGGAUCUCCUUUCAGAGAGACAUCAGGGACCAUAACAUACUCUGUUUCACAGAAUCAUUGCUCUCUCUGGAUAUACUGUCCCCGUCCAUACAGCCAGCUGGGUUCUCAGUACAUUGUGCAUACAGGGUAAAAUAAUUCUCCAGGAAGAAGAAAUGCAGUGGUGUAUGUUUCAUGAUUUACUACUCAUGGUGUGAUUCUGAUAAUGUAGAAAAAGUAAUUUUCUUCACCCGACCUAGUAUACCUCACGAUAAAAUGCAGACCGUAUUACCUCCCAAGAUAAUUAUCUUCAGUUAUAGUCACAGCCGUGAAUAUUCCCAUUCAAGCCGAUACCAUGACGGCCCUAAAGGAACUACAUGAGACAUUUUGCAAACUGGAAACCACAUGUCCUGAGGCCGCAUUUAUUGUAGCUGGGGAUUUUACGAAUGCAAAUUUGAGGAAAACGCAACCGAAGUUCUUUCAACACACUGACUGUAGUACUUUCGCUGCUAAAACGGUCAACCACUGUUAUUCUCCCUUAUGGGAUGCCUACAAGGCCCUCCCCCAACUUCCCUUAAAGGCACAGUCAACUUAGUAUAUGUAAACUUCUGACCCAUUGGAAUUGUAAAAGAGUGAAAUAAUCAGUAUAUAAACAAUUGUUGGAAAAAUUACUUGUCAUGCACAAAGUAGAUGUCCUAACCGACUUGCCAAAACUAUAGUUUGUUAACUUCUCUAGGAUAGGGGGCAGCAUUCGGAAUUUUGAAUGAAAAGCAUGCCCAAGUUCAACUGCCUGCAACUCAUCCCCAGAAGAUAAGAUAUGCAUAUUAUUAGAAAACACUCUGAAGUUUCUAAAACUGUUUGAAUCAUGUCUAUGAGUAUAACUGAACUUAUUUAGCAGGCAAAACCCCGAGGACGAACCAUUCAGAUGUUUUAUUUUGAGGUCACUCUCUUUUCAAUGGGAUUUCAUUGGGAAUCCAGAUUUCGAAGGGACCUUCUUGCAGUUCCUAUCGCUUCCGCUGGAUGUCAACAGUCUUUAGAAAUUGGUUGAGGUUUUUCCUUUGUGUAAUGAAGAAGUAGCACUGUUCAGAACGAGGGUCACUUGAAGUGUACUGUUAGGGGCGCGUGAUCAGAAAGCUAGCUACAGUUUGUUUUCCUCCUGUAUUGAACACAGAUCAUCCCGUCUUCAAUUCUAUCAAUUAUUUACGUAAAAUAAUACCUAAAGUUGUAUUACAAAAGUAGUUUGAAAUGUUUUGGCAAAGUUUACAGGUAACUUUUGAGAUAUUUUUGUAGUCACGUUGCGCAAGUUGGAACCUGUGUUUUUUUUGAUAAAACGCGCCAAAUAAAUUGACAUUUUGGAUAUAUAUCGACGGAAUUAAUUGAACAAAAGGACCAUUUGUGAUGUUUAUGGGACAUAUUGGAGUGCCAACAAAAGAAGCUCGUCAAAAGUAAGGCAUGAAUUAUAUUUUUUAUUUCUGCGUUUUGUGUCGCGCCUGCAGGGUUGAAAUAUGCUUCUCUCUCUUUGUUUACUGGGGUGCUAUCCUCAGAUAAUAGCAUCGUUUGCUUUUGCCGAGAAGCCUUUUUGAAAUUUGACAUGUUGCCUGGAUUCACAUCAAGUGAAGCUUUAAUUUGCUAUCUUGCAUGUGUGAUUUCAUGAAAGUUAGAUUUGAAUUUGGCGCUCUGCAUUUUCACUGGCUUUUGGCCAGGUGGGACGCUAGCGUCCCACAUAUACCAGAGGGGUUAAACAGCUUGGAAAAUUCCAAUGUCAUGGCUUUAGAAGCUCCUGAUAGGCUAACUGACAUCAUUUGAGUCAAUUGGAGGUGUACCUGUGGAUGUAUUUCAAGGCCUACCUUCAAACUCAGUGCUUCUUUGCUUCAUGAGAAAAUCCAAAUAAAUCAGCCAAGACCCCAGAAAAAGUUUUAGACCUCCACAAGUGUGGUUCAUUUUUGGGAGCAAUUUCCAAAUGCCUGAAGGUACCACGUUCAUCUGUACAAACAAUAGUACUCAAGUAUAAACACCAUGGGACCACACAGCCGUCAUACCGCUGUAACGAUUUUCUUCAUCUGAUGAGGAAAGAUCGGACCAAAACGCAGCGUAGUAAGUGUCCAUUUUAAUGAAAGAUAACUGAACACUGAAUACAAAAUAACCAAAGUGAAACAACGAAAAUCGAAACAGUCCUAUCAGGUGACAAAUCACAAAACAGGAAACAACUACUCACAAAUACUAGGUGGGAACAGGUUACCUAAGUAUGGUUCUCAAUCAGAGACAACGAAUGACAGCUGCCUCUGAUCGGGAACCAUACCAGGCUAAACACAGAAAUACAAAACAUAGAACAAAACCUAGAAUGCCCACCCCAACUCAUGCCCUGACCAAAACAACAUAGAGACAUAAAAAAGGAACUAAAGUCAGUACGUGACAGUAACCCCCCCCAAAGGUGCGGACUCUGGACGCAAAACCUGAACCUAUUGGGGAGGGUCUGGGUGGGCAUUUCACCGCGGUUGCGGCUCUGGUGCGGGAAGUAGACCCCACUCCACCUUAGUCUUGGCCCACUUCUGUGGCACCUCUGGAGUGGCGACCCUCGCCGCCGACCCCGGACUGGGGACCCUUACAGCAGGCACCGGACAGGCGGGAGACUCUGGCAGCGCCGGACAGGCAGGAGACUCUGGCGGCGCCGGACAGGCAGGAGACUCUGCCGGCGCCGGACAGGCGGGCGGCGAGGGUUGCUCCGGACUGACGGGCGGCUCUGGCGGCUCCGGACUGAUGGGCGGCUCUGGCGGCUCCGGACAGGAGGGAGACUCUGGCGAUGCCGGACAGGCUGGAGACUCUGGCGGCGCCGGACAGGCAGGAGACUCUGGCGGUGCCGGACAGGAUCCGGGUUCAAUGUGUUUGUUUAUUUCCAACUUGCUGAAGUCUUCCUUCUGCUGACAAUCUGUCUGGGAUCAUACUGGUUUUACAAGAAGAAAACCUGUCCUCAAGAACAAGAUGAUGGUGAGUAAGCAGAGUGUUUGCAGUCUCUCAGGAUGAUCACGGUGGGACUCUAAGAGGGGUGUUGAUGUCAUGAAAGUUGCCAUGGAGACCACGACUAAUGAUGAUGUUAUACUGCUUAUUGCUGUUUUACUCUUAAUCAAGCUCAAACUCAAAGCACAGUCACAUAUUUAGUUAUUUUGACAUACGUCUUCAUAGUUUCAUAAUGUUCCUUCAGACCUGCCCUUAACAAAGUAAUAAUGAAUGAUCUAUGCGAUGGUAUUUAUUUAAUGGAUUUUAACUCUUGAAUUGUAGUGUUUUAGCGGUUUUUCAUUUGUACAUACAGUUUUUUAUAAACUAAUGAAAAUGCUAUUGUGUUUUUGAAAAAUACAUUUUCUUUUGUAUUCGAAUGUGACCUAAGGCCUUCACAAACAGAUUUUUAUUUUGCGAUAGCAAAUAUGUAGAGUUCAAAAAGUACCUGCACUCAAAACUAUGAAAAGGAAUGCAAAAAUAAUGCACUUAAUUUAAUCAAUGCUCAAAAGAAUACAAAAAGGUUCUAGAAAACAAAAACAGAGGAUGCAUUUUGACCACAUGUUUUUAUUAGUGCUGGGGAACUGUAACAGACACUUCCAUUCUUACUGUAACUUCAUCAUGUUUUGAUUUGAUGUGGUAUUUGUGCGAUUUUGAAUCCAUUGAAAUCAAAUCAAGCUACUUACUUACUAUUCUGGACCUUCAGAAUGGCACCAAAGGAGAUGACUGUCGUUUUACGAUCCCAUAACCAAUUGUGCUAUUAUGUAUGUUUUUUCGCGUUAUUUUGAACAUAAUGUUUCUGCCAUUGUGUCUUAUGACCGAAAAAAGCUUCUAGAUGUCAGAACAGCGAUUUCUCACCCCAUGCUGGAGGAAUACUUUGUCUUCAACGUGAAGGACGGGAUGGAUUUAUUUCAGACGCCUGACAAGACCCUCAUCCCCGUCAUUCACAGGAGAAAGAGACAGGGGUAUUGGGGACGAAGGUCUGGGUGCCUUGUAAGGAGGGUAGUCUACCUUUACCAUCGGUCCUAUUAGCCAACAUACAAUCAAUCGAUAAUAAAAUAGACAAACUGCGAUCAUGUAUAUCCACCAACUGGACUGUCACGAUGUAUAAUGAUAGGAGACAGGUGCAGGAAUACGAAAUAGGGUUUUUCUAUUUCUCCAACCAAAAUAGCGUACGUCAUGAACAUGAUGAGGACGAAGCCCAAAACAAACAUGUCAUAUAUAACACAGGGCUGUAACCCAAACAAAGAGUGAGGUGUAACCCUCUAAUAAAUACACUGGACGAGACCCGUAAUAACAAUACACAGGAAGAGACCUGUAAUAACAAGUGCACACUAACAUGGUAACACGCAAGCCGAUACAAGAGAGCACAGGUACUCACAAGACCAACGGACAUGGAACAAUAAUCAGCAAGGACAAUGGGGAACAGAGGGCACAUAUAUACACAUACUAAUUUUAUAUAACUAGGCAAAUCAGUUAAGAACAAACUCUUAUUUACAAUGACCUAGGAACAGUGGGUUAACUGCCUUGUUCAGGGGCAGAAUGCGAGGAAUCAAUCUAGCAACCUUUCGGUUACUGACCCAAUGCUCUAACCACCGGUAGCCACCUGCAGCACUGAUGUGGAAAUACAUUUAUUCCAUUAAAAAUCAAGUUGUGUUUUAAUAGACCUUUUGUUUGUGAACUGAAUUACCGUUGAGGGCCACAGAAAAUGUUACGGCAGGUCAGAUAUGUUCCCCUGGAUGCUAUUGUUAAUGAAGGGAUGAUGCCUCUAUAUGUUUGCCUGGUUCCAUUCUGUAUAUGCUCUGUAGCCACCUCUUCUGUCAUUGCACUGCUAUCAUUGUCGGGCCACCGACCUUUCAGACCUGACUGUGAUUUUUGUUUUUGAUUGGUUCACUGUGGAGUGAUACUUUAAUAACUGUUUCUAAGUAACUUUUUAACUCUAAAUGAGAUAUUUGGAAUGGCAAAGGAGAAACACAGAGAGGAGUUGACUAUACACCACAAACAGACUGGACCAUCUUUAUACCACUACAGGGCAAUACAGGGCAAUACCAUAAUGACUAUCAUAAAUACUAUGUCAGAAAGAGAAUGUAUACCCCCAGAAACAAGAUAGUACUGUCAGCUGCAUUUGUGUUCUGAACAUGUAUUAAUUUAGGUGAAAAAGCAAUUAUUUUUUAUAAAAAGCAAUUAAAAGGAAUUGCUUGUUUGUUUUCAACCUAUUUUCAAUAAAGUAGCCUAUUCUAUAUAGAAAGAAUUCAAAUAGAGAUAAUCCUUUUUUAAAAUCCAAUGAAAACAAACAUUUUAGAGAGAGAGAGAUAAAGAGAGGUGUAUAUGACCUCAUUCUGGACCUCCUUUCUCAUGAUCUAAUACUAUUUAAACA